Molecule: non-coding RNA, 296 nt
Organism: Pelobates cultripes (western spadefoot toad)
Lineage: Eukaryota; Metazoa; Chordata; Amphibia; Anura; Pelobatidae
Source: the annotation of a GenBank genome assembly
GGUUAAGCAAAUGCCACUUUGUGCAUAUUGAAUAGUAGUUGCCACACUACUACUAAGUAAAAUGUAUUUAGGGUGUCAAAGUAGGCAAUCAUUGGUGGUAUGUCUGGGUUCCAUUUAUUUUUUUAAUCAGGCACUGCACCCUGUUCAGUUAGUUAGUUAGUUUGAUCCAAAUCCUAACAAGAAAGAAUGUAAAGAUAGGAAAAGUGAAUUCUGUAAUGACAAGGUGAGGGAGAGAAUGAAUGGUAAAGUGAAAAUGUUAGGAUAGGUAGGGUAUCUAUUAACUGGAUCCCAGGGAG